GGUUGGAUGACAUCACCGACUCAAUGGACUUAUCUGUGGACAUCUUGGCACCUCUACAAACUAUAAUCUCCCUGAAGCCUGAAUGAGCCUGGAAGAAGGGGCCCCUAAACCUCACAAGAUGGAUCACAGCUCCAACUAACAAGUUAAUUUCAGCCUGGUGAGAUCCUGAGCAGAAUGCCCAGGUAAACCCUGUCCAGAAUCCAGACCCUAGACCCUCAGAAACUGUCAGUUAAUAAACAUUCUGCUCCAAGCCACAAAAUUUCUGGUAAUUCAUUUCUUGGCAAUAGAAAGCUAAUUCACACCCAGUAGUCAGUGUAAUCAAUGGGCUGAUAAGCAAGAGCUCGGAGGCAGAUGCCCAUUUGUCUUUGUCAACAAACAUAAUAAAGACCGUUUCACCAAAGCUGCGUGGUCAAGGCUGCAUAUGCAGUUAUCAAAGUUGAACAUGGAACAGCCUUGGGCGCACCCUGGGAGAUGAAGCCAGCAGAACAAGGGAAGCAGAGAUCAGUGCGUUCAAGUCCCAGAUUUCAUUCUCUCUUGCCCGCCUCAGAGUCUGGUCAUCUUAAGUUCUUUGAAGGCAUCCCCUGGAUUGGCACUCGUGCCAUCGCUCCUCCUCCCAGACUAGUAAACAGCAUCACUGGGAUUUACGCAGUCUAGCGCCGGAGUCUGUUCUCCUG
Molecule: long non-coding RNA, 674 nt
Organism: Bos taurus (domestic cattle)
Lineage: Eukaryota; Metazoa; Chordata; Mammalia; Artiodactyla; Bovidae
Source: Ensembl